GAUGAACGCUGGCGGCGUGCUUAACACAUGCAAGUCGAGCGAGUGAGUUCUUCGGAACGAUCUAGCGGCGGACGGGUGAGUAACACGUGGGCAACCUGCCUCAUAGAGGGGAAUAGCCUCCCGAAAGGGAGAUUAAUACCGCAUAACAUCGUUGAAGGGCAUCCUUCGAUGAUCAAAGGAGCAAUCCGCUAUGAGAUGGGCCCGCGGCGCAUUAGCUAGUUGGUGAGGUAACGGCUCACCAAGGCGACGAUGCGUAGCCGACCUGAGAGGGUGAUCGGCCACAUUGGGACUGAGACACGGCCCAGACUCCUACGGGAGGCAGCAGUGGGGAAUAUUGCACAAUGGGGGAAACCCUGAUGCAGCAACGCCGCGUGAGUGAUGACGGCCUUCGGGUUGUAAAGCUCUGUCUUUGGGGACGAUAAUGACGGUACCCAAGGAGGAAGUCACGGCUAACUACGUGCCAGCCGCCGCAGUAA
This 476-nucleotide ribosomal RNA is filed under the name uncultured bacterium. RNAcentral's name for it is "partial 16S ribosomal RNA". It matches the Rfam family "Bacterial small subunit ribosomal RNA", at positions 28 to 523 of the family's 1533-position model. The record is from RNAcentral.